CCAGAAAGCCAACUUCCAACUAAUGCCCCAGCCAGAUUUAUUUACGUGCAAAACUUAUACUUGCAAGUAUCUACUUAAUUGAGUAUUAAUGAAAAAAUUGCUCUAAAAUAAUCAAAAUGGGUUCUUUUAUUGCAUAUGCAGUUAUUAGAGAAAUCUAGCUUGGAAAAAAAUUUUUUUUCAGAAUUCGUGACCCUGGUGGGAUUUCCCUUUGCCCUGACUAACAUCUUCAUCACUUGGGGUAUUUGAGGACCAGCUUGCCUGCUGAUGGACCAGACCCAGUGGCCACAACCAGGACCCUUUGGUCCCUGGACUCCUCUUCAUGUGGACAACUGGCCAGAGUGCCCUGACUGGAGUAUUGGUGAAGAUUAAUGCAAUUUGAAGAACUUCGAAAAGAAGAAGCAAGCUGUUCGUGUACAGGACGACUCAACCAGGAAAGUUCAGUGUAUACAACUGGUCACUUAAAGAUUUGUCUUCAAGAAGCAAAAGCAGGCCUGCAAAGUAUCUGAAGCAACUUUGGACGUGAGGAACAUACUACAGAGAGUUACCCAGACACUAUUAUGACUGGCAGAAAAAGACAUACAGGUAAGAUCUAUCUAUUCAGUGAAAAUAUGUGUGGGAUGAAAAGAACCAGACCCCCUGAGAGUGUACAUACACACAUAUUUAGGAAAGCAUGAGUCAAUUGAAGCUGCUUCUUAGAAUCUCCUCCUGUCUAUGAGUGCUUCAGACUGCAGAAUAACCUGGAACUCUUUAUGGAAAAUACACUGGACAGCCUUUUACUCACACCUUUGACUUACCUUUAACUCCAGAGGAAAUCUUCACCUUUGGUUCAAUGUAUUAAACCUUCUUGUCGGAGCACAGGAAGUCCAGUGGGACCUUCUUACCUGCCUGCCCUUCUUGCCCUCUCUGACAUCUCAGAGACUGCAUUGCAGCAACUUUAUUUUUUCCCAUUUGUCAUGCACUUCCUAACCCCACUUACUUCUCAGACUUCAGUUACUUAUUUUUCCAGUAAAAACAGUCUCUGCAGGGUUUUCUUUUGUAAGUUUAAUCUCUGACAAUGAUAGAAUUAACUAAGUUGGAAAAAAUUGAGGAGAGAGGAAGGAGGAUGGACAGGAAGAGUAGGUGUGAGGCUAAAGCUAUAAGUUGACCAAAGCUUCAGAUUAUAAUAGAAGGGGGUACGGUAAGUGGGAGAGGAACAUACACACAGACCAGUACAGGUGAGCAAGGGCAAAGGCAUAGACAAGGAGACUGCUAAUUCUAGAAAGUGGCUAAGACGUUAUUCACUGUCAGCCAUCAUCAACUGGCCCCAUGAGGUUUUUAUGUAUUUAAACACAUUUAUUACAACUACACCUUCUGUGUUCAGUGAAAAUAUAAGGCCUUUUUGUUUGUUUAUUUUAGAUUAAUAACAUCUUUUUCUCAAGUUUUCACAAGAUGACUCAAGGGAGUGGAGAUUCAAUUUUCAGUAUUAUCAUGUUCAAAACUGGUAAUUUAAAUAGUUUAUUUUAUAUA
RNAcentral lists this long non-coding RNA (1506 nucleotides) under Sus scrofa (pig). RNAcentral describes it as "lncRNA (ENSSSCG00055001437.1, ENSSSCG00065033541.1)". The record is from RNAcentral. Lineage: Eukaryota; Metazoa; Chordata; Mammalia; Artiodactyla; Suidae.